This is a long non-coding RNA of Ictidomys tridecemlineatus (thirteen-lined ground squirrel), 1241 nucleotides long. RefSeq lists it as uncharacterized. The record is from RefSeq and is a predicted model, not a curated record. NCBI's taxonomy places the organism in Eukaryota, Metazoa, Chordata, Mammalia, Rodentia, Sciuridae.
GGUGGGGGACACCCGCCCCCGACUGAAUGCCCAUUUUCGGAGGAUAAAGUGUUGGCUGGAGCGACAGCCAGUGCGCAGCCGGAGCCCAGCCUGCUGGGGUGCACGUGCGCGCCUCGAAAUAUCCUCCCCUCUCCCGGCUGGACCACGCUCGAGGAAAGAGACCGGCGCACUGUGGAGCAGCCACUGCGGAAGAUAGGAGUGCAACAGAGCGCUGUCCCCAGCCCCAGGAGGCAGAAGCCAAGCCACCAGACUCUCCAGAGGAGAAGCCCAUGCACCCUGUUCUGCCCUGCCCCUCCAAGCUCGAGCAGGCCGGGCCAGGCCUCUUGGUCCUUCUCUCCCUCCAUCCCGCCUCCUUGGAGAGAAAACAAGCAGCCCAUGCGUCAAGACGGAGCCUUCCUCGCUAAUAAACCCAUCCUAUGUCUGUGACAUGUUUCAAAAGGAGCAGAAAAUUACCUUCCAGGAAGCCAACGAGAGGGACAAGACCACCAGCUCUACCAAACCACUGCGAGGCUGACAGAGUGGGGAAGCCUGAGGCAGUAGACGCCCGGAAGGCCUUGGUGCCACCUCGGGGGAUCUCCUUGGGGGGCCAAAGGACAGGGCAGCACCCAAUGUCCUGCCUCCCCUCGCCUGCUUGAUGGCCAGGCCCCAGGACAGGGUCCCCAGGGCCGCUGUGCUGACACAGAAGCAUCGGAGGGUCUGGCACUAGACCCUGUCCCUGAAGCUGUGGGCUUCUCUCUCCUGGCCCCCCGACUUUCCCCUCAACAUUUUGUGGCAUAUGGCAAAGGAGGAAACGUCAGAAGGAGCAUCCAUGGAUUCACUACCUAGAGUCAACUGUUUCCUCUCACUCUUUUUUUUAUUGUGUUAAAAUACAUAUAACAUAAAAUUUAUUCAUUUUAACCAUUUUAAAGCCUACACUUUGGUGGCAUGAAAUACAUCCAUGACAUGGCACAACCUCCACCUCUGUGGAGUUCCAACCCAUUCUUUUCACCCCAAGAGGAAAGCCGUGAAGCAGUUACUCCCAUUUCCUCUUCCCUUCAGCCCCCCAAAACCACCAUCCUCCUGUCUCUACAAAUGUACCUGUUCUGGACAUUUCACAUGAAUGGAAGUGGCCCUUUGUAACUGGCUUCUUUCACUUAACGUCAUGUUUGUGUAUUGUAGCCUGUGUCACCACCUCACUCUUUUUCUUGGCUGAGUAAUAUAUCAUUUUGUGAAUAGACAAUGUUUUAUUUAUCUAUUCAUCA